UACUCCCGCCCGGCGACCGGCGCACGGGUGAGUAACACGUAUGAAACCUGCCCGUAGCAGGGGGAUAAGCGGAAGAAAUUCCGUCUAAUACCGCGUAACAACCCGAGGAGGCAUCUCCUCGGGUUUAAAGGAAGCGAUUCCGGCUACGGAUGGUCAUGCGUCGCAUUAGCUAGUUGGCGGGGUAACGGCCCACCAAGGCGACGAUGCGUAGGGGUUCUGAGAGGAAGGUCCCCCACACUGGUACUGAGACACGGACCAGACUCCUACGGGAGGCAGCAG
This 279-nucleotide ribosomal RNA is filed under the name uncultured bacterium. RNAcentral's name for it is "partial 16S ribosomal RNA". It matches the Rfam family "Bacterial small subunit ribosomal RNA", at positions 79 to 354 of the family's 1533-position model. The record is from RNAcentral.